RNAcentral lists this transfer RNA (69 nucleotides) under Otophryne robusta (pancake frog). RNAcentral describes it as "tRNA-Met". The record is from RNAcentral. Lineage: Eukaryota; Metazoa; Chordata; Amphibia; Anura; Microhylidae.
UGUGAGAUCAGCUAAUUUAAGCUCUUGGGCUCAUGCCCCAAAUAUGUCGGUUAACCCCCCUCUCGCAAC